RNAcentral lists this unclassified non-coding RNA (964 nucleotides) under Hevea brasiliensis (rubber tree). The record is from RNAcentral. Lineage: Eukaryota; Viridiplantae; Streptophyta; Magnoliopsida; Malpighiales; Euphorbiaceae.
GUGCCUUGAAAAUUGUGAAAUGAAAAGCACUUCGAACCUGUCAGAUCCUCGGAAGAGAAAUGAUGAGCGUGCUCCGGAGAAAGAAGAGGAAGACUAUUUCAACGAGGACAGUGAUGAAGAGGAUACUGCAUCUGCAUCUGCAUCUGUUGCUCCUAAACAGAAUGUAGAGUCUCAACCUGCUUUGUCUAAUGGCGUUACUACAAGUUACCCACCAAUAAGUCCUAGGUCAGGUGGUCUAGUUGACUAUGACGAUGAUGAGGAUGAUGAAGACUACAGACCCCCCCAGAGGAAACAGCCUGACACUUCAGACGAAGACAAUGAAGUGAUGGAAGCAUUCAGGCAGAAGCGAAAGUCGGCUCCUCAAGAGGAACCUGAGAUGGUCAAGAAGCAGCGACUAAUCAAGAAGAACAAGCCAAAAGAUGGAGUAUUUGCUUCCUUGUGUACCACAUUGAGUCAGGCCGUCUUACCUGGUAAGAAGACAACGAAUGCUACUCGAACCAGUCUGUGCACGUCUUAUGAGAACAAAAGCUUAGGCGAAGAAAAUCACGAGACAAGUCCUGCUAUUUCUAGCAGCUCUUCUGAUAGUAGUAGCAGCAAUUCUGAUGAGGAAAGUCGCAGGGAAAAGGAAUCUACAGCUUCUAGAAGUUACUCCAACAGUAGUGUCUUGCAUAUUACUUCAGAAAAUCGUCAGUUAGGUGGGGACGACUAUCCACUGAUACCGCCAAAAUCCUCGCCUGAAAUGACUGUGAAUGGAUCUUUAAGUUAGUAUUAGCAUCAAUCUUCUAUCUGGUGUCUCAAAAUAUUAUGCUUCAACUCAUGGAUGUGCUUGGUACUGGCAAAUUCUUGGCUUUGAGAUUACAUGGAAAGAGAUCAGCGCACUUCUUGGAAGAAAGUGAAUCAACAGAAUGGGAAUAUAGUUGGUUUUGGGGAUUUUGGUUUCAGCCGAUGAUGAGGACGUCUUACU